GGCGAUGUAGCUAAGCCUGGCAGCGAGAAAGCAGAGCUUUCUAAGUUUCCCUGCUUUCGCUGGGAAAUUAUAGCGCAACGCUCAUAACGUUGAGGUCGCGUGUUCAAAUCACGCCAUCGCCA
RNAcentral lists this transfer RNA (122 nucleotides) under archaeon. RNAcentral's name for it is "tRNA-Met". The stretch from base 59 to 114 matches the Rfam family "tRNA", at positions 10 to 63 of the family's 71-position model. The record is from RNAcentral.